ACUGUCCUACGGGACGUAGCAGUGAGGAAUAUUGGUCGAUGGUCGGGAGACUGAACCAGCCAAGCCGCGUGAGGGAGGAAGAUACAGAGUAUCGUAAACCUCUUUUGUCAGGGAACAAAGGCGGGGACGUGUCCCCGGAUGAGUGUACCUGAAGAAAAAGCAUCGGCUAACUCCGUGCCAGCAGCCGCGGUAAUACGGAGGAUGCGAGCGUUAUCCGGAUUUAUUGGGUUUAAAGGGUGCGCAGGCGGUCUGUUAAGUCAGCGGUCAAAGCCCGGGGCUCAACCCCGGCCCGCCGUUGAAACUGG
RNAcentral lists this ribosomal RNA (305 nucleotides) under uncultured bacterium. Its description in RNAcentral is "bacterial SSU rRNA". It matches the Rfam family "Bacterial small subunit ribosomal RNA", at positions 333 to 636 of the family's 1533-position model. The record is from RNAcentral.